RNAcentral lists this ribosomal RNA (657 nucleotides) under uncultured bacterium. RNAcentral's name for it is "bacterial SSU rRNA". The stretch from base 1 to 561 matches the Rfam family "Bacterial small subunit ribosomal RNA", at positions 338 to 873 of the family's 1533-position model. The record is from RNAcentral.
CCUACGGGAGGCAGCAGUAGGGAAUCUUCCGCAAUGGACGAAAGUCUGACGGAGCAACGCCGCGUGAACGAUGAAGGCCUUCGGGUCGUAAAGUUCUGUUGCUAGGGAAGAACAAGUGCUAGUUAAAUAAGCUGGCACCUUGACGGUACCUAACCAGAAAGCCACGGCUAACUACGUGCCAGCAGCCGCGGUAAUACGUAGGUGGCAAGCGUUGUCCGGAAUUAUUGGGCGUAAAGCGCGCGCAGGCGGUUUCUUAAGUCUGAUGUGAAAGCCCCCGGCUCAACCGGGGAGGGUCAUUGGAAACUGGGAAACUUGAGUGCAGAAGAGGAAAGUGGAAUUCCAAGUGUAGCGGUGAAAUGCGUAGAGAUUUGGAGGAACACCAGUGGCGAAGGCGACUUUCUGGUCUGUAACUGACGCUGAGGCGCGAAAGCGUGGGGAGCAAACAGGAUUAGAUACCCUGGUAGUCCACGCUGUAAACCGNUGAGUGCUAGUAGUUAGUAGGGUUACCGGUCCCGUUUACGUUGUCUGUAAGUUAACGUACGUAUUAAGUACGACUCCGUCCGUCGGGAGGUACGGUCGCGAGACGUAGAAACGUUAAACGGUAAAGUUAGUACGGCGUGAGACGUCGACCGAACGGACGACGACGAGGGAGGUAGG